This 1223-nucleotide ribosomal RNA is filed under the name uncultured prokaryote. RNAcentral describes it as "partial 16S ribosomal RNA". It matches the Rfam family "Bacterial small subunit ribosomal RNA", at positions 216 to 1459 of the family's 1533-position model. The record is from RNAcentral.
CGGUCCGGGAGCGGCCCACGUCCUAUCAGCUUGUUGGUGGGGUAACAGCCUACCAAGGCUCUGACGGGUAGCCGGCGUGAGAGCGUGAUCGGCCACAUCGGGACUGAGACACUGCCCGGACACCUACGGGUGGCUGCAGCAACGAAUAAUCCGCAAUGGGCGAAAGCCUGACGGUGCGACGCCGCGUGAAGGAUGAAGUUCUUCGGGAUGUAAACUUCAAUAGUAUGUCAGGAAGAUCUGACCAGCAUACGAAAGGGGUGGCUAACUCCGUGCCAGCAGCCGCGGUAACACGGAGACCCCUAGCGUUGUUCGGAAUUACUGGGCUUAAAGAGCGUGUAGGCGGAACGGUAAGUACCUUGUGAAAGCCCCCGGCUCAACCGGGGAAUGGCUCGGUAUACUAUCGUUCUUGAGGCAGGUAGGGGCUGCUGGAACCUUAGGUGGAGCGGUGAAAUGCGUAGAUAUCUAAGGGAACGCCUGUGGCGAAAGCGGGCAGCUGGACCUGUACUGACGCUGAGACGCGAAAGCGUAGGGAGCGAACGGGAUUAGAUACCCCGGUAGUCUACGCCGUAAACGAUGCGCACUAGGUCGGUGAACUUCUGACAGUGCGCCGGUCGAAGUUAAAGUGUUAAGUGGACCGCCUGGGGAGUACGGUCGCAAGGCUAAAACUCAAAGGAAUUGACGGGGGCUCACACAAGCGGUGGAGCAUGUUGCUCAAUUCGAUGCAACGCGAAGAACCUUAUCCUGGGCUUGACAUGCUUGGAUGCCCAUCUGGAAACAGAGUAGGCUGCCCUUCGGGGUGAAACUUACACAGGUGCUGCAUGGCUGUCGUCAGCUCGUGUCGUGAGAUGUUGGGUUAAGUCCCGUAACGAGCGAAACCCUUAUCGUUAGUUGCCAGCGCGUUAUGGCGGGGACUCUAACGAGACUGCCGGUGUUAAACCGGAGGAAGGUGGGGAUGACGUCAAGUCCUCAUGGCCUUUAUGCCCAGGGCUGCAAACGUGCUACAAUGGCCGAUACAAACCGACGCAAAACCGCGAGGUCGAGCAAAUCGGAAAAAGCCAGCCUCAGUUCGGAUUGGAGUCUGCAACUCGACUCCAUGAAGUUGGAAUCGCUAGUAAUCGCGUAUCAGCAUGACGCGGUGAAUGUGUUCCUGAGCCUUGUACACACCGCCCGUCAAGUCAUGGAAGCCGGGAGCACCCGAAGUCGCCACAAUUCAGUGCUGCCUA